GGCGGACGGGUGAGUAAUGUCUGGGAAACUGCCUGAUGGAGGGGGAUAACUACUGGAAACGGUAGCUAAUACCGCAUAACGUCGCAAGACCAAAGAGGGGGACCUUCGGGCCUCUUGCCAUCAGAUGUGCCCAGAUGGGAUUAGCUAGUAGGUGGGGUAACGGCUCACCUAGGCGACGAUCCCUAGCUGGUCUGAGAGGAUGACCAGCCACACUGGAACUGAGACACGGUCCAGACUCCUACGGGAGGCAGCAGUGGGGAAUAUUGCACAAUGGGCGCAAGCCUGAUGCAGCCAUGCCGCGUGUAUGAAGAAGGCCUUCGGGUUGUAAAGUACUUUCAGCGGGGAGGAAGGUGUUGUGGUUAAUAACC
This 368-nucleotide ribosomal RNA is filed under the name Enterobacter sp. ENT03. Its description in RNAcentral is "bacterial SSU rRNA". It matches the Rfam family "Bacterial small subunit ribosomal RNA", at positions 97 to 468 of the family's 1533-position model. The record is from RNAcentral. Lineage: Bacteria; Pseudomonadati; Pseudomonadota; Gammaproteobacteria; Enterobacterales; Enterobacteriaceae.